AGUCGUAACAAGGUUUCCUUUAUGUAAGUCAGGAACAUGAUUCUUCUGUUGGUAUACUUAUAGAAGCCUUAGUAUCCCAGCAAUGGGAGGUCACGCGACAAUAAAUAAAGUGGCUGUUUACUAGUUGACGUCAAGUCGGCAACACAACUGGACUGUUUGGGAAUACUUGUGCGCACUUCACUUGUGCGCUAUGAGCAACCCACAGCGAAUACCUCAGGGGCCCCUCAACUGCCCUAGGGGGAACGUUCACAGACUAAGUGGUUGUGGGUAGAGCAUUUGUGCCCUAUUUGAGAUAUAGUCGGGCCUGAUGGUACUCCAUCAGCUUUGUUGCAAGCCAUUAUCCACGUGUCUCGGAUAUUGACGCAGCUAGGAAUACACUGUUCCGUAGGUGAACCUGCGGAAGGAUCAUUACAGAGAACAUGCCCCUUGGGGUAUAUCUCCCACCCUUUGUUUACAAUACCUGUUGCUUCGGCGGGCCCCGUCUUUUGACUGCUGGCUUUUAGCUGGCCAGAGCCCGCCAGAGGACCUCAAAAACUCUCUAUUAUGUUGUCUGAGUACCAUACAAAUAGUUAAAACUUUCAACAACGGAUCUCUUGGUUCUGGCAUCGAUGAAGAACGCAGCGAAAUGCGAUAAGUAAUGUGAAUUGCAGAAUUCAGUGAAUCAUCGAAUCUUUGAACGCACAUUGCACCCUCUGNANUCCGGGGGGUAUGCCUGUUCGAGCGUCAUUUCAACCCUCAAGCACUGCUUGGUGUUGGAUGCCAUCACUUGUGGUGGCAUCCCAAAAGCAUUGGCGGCAGCGUCCAGCUUCUAGCGUAGUAAUCUCUCGCUCUGGAGUGUGGACGCCUAGCUGCCAAAACCCUCUUUUUCAAAAGGUUGACCUCGGAUCAGGUAGGGAUACCCGCUGAACUUAAGCAUAUCAAUAAGCGGAGGAAAAGAAACCAACAGGGAUUGCCUCAGUAACGGCGAGUGAAGCAGCAACGGCUCAAAUUUGAAAUCUGGCCUUCCGGUCCGAGUUGUAAUUUGUAGAGGAUGCUUCGAGCGUGGUCUGGUCUAAGUUCCUUGGAACAGGACGUCACAGAGGGUGAGAAUCCCGUAUGCGACUGGGUGCCUAAGCUCAUGUGAAGCUCCUUCGACGAGUCGAGUUGUUUGGGAAUGCAGCUCAAAAUGGGUGGUAAAUUUCAUCUAAAGCUAAAUACUGGCCAGAGACCGAUAGCGCACAAGUAGAGUGAUCGAAAGAUGAAAAGCACUUUGGAAAGAGAGUUAAACAGUACGUGAAAUUGUUGAAAGGGAAGCGCUUGCAACUAGACUUGCAUGCAGUUGAUCAUCCGAUGUUUUCACCGGUUCACUCAACUGCAUUCAGGCCAGCAUUGGUUCUGGUGGUUGGAUAAAGGCUGGGGGAAUGUAGCUUCUCUCGGGGAGUGUUAUAGCCCCUGGUGCAAUGCAGCCUACCGGGACCGAGGACCGCGCUUCGGCUAGGAUGCUGGCGUAAUAGUUGUAAGCGACC
This 1505-nucleotide ribosomal RNA is filed under the name uncultured fungus. Its description in RNAcentral is "eukaryotic LSU rRNA". The stretch from base 876 to 1505 matches the Rfam family "Eukaryotic large subunit ribosomal RNA", at positions 1 to 649 of the family's 3401-position model. Lineage: Eukaryota; Fungi. The record is from RNAcentral.